UGGGGAAUCUUGCACAAUGGGGGAAACCCUGAUGCAGCGACGCCGCGUGAGCGAUGAAGCCCUUCGGGGUGUAAAGCUCUUUCGGCAGGGAAGAUUAUGACGGUACCUGCAGAAGCAGCUGCGGCUAACUACGUGCCAGCAGCCGCGGUAAUACGUAGGCAGCAAGCGUUGUUCGGAGUUACUGGGCGUAAAGGGUGCGUAGGCGGUCCUGUAAGUAUGGUGUGAAAUCUCCCGGCUUAACUGGGAGGGUGCGCUAUAGACUGCGGGACUAGAGGGUGGGAGAGGAAAGUGGAAUUCCUGGUGUAGCGGUGAAAUGCGUAGAUAUCAGGAGGAACACCGGUGGUGUAAACGGCUUUCUGGACCAUUUCUGACGCUGAGGCACGAAAGCGUGGGUAGCAAACAGGAUUAGAUACCCGCGUAGUCC
Molecule: ribosomal RNA, 424 nt
Filed under: uncultured bacterium
Lineage: Bacteria
Description: bacterial SSU rRNA
Rfam family: Bacterial small subunit ribosomal RNA
Source: RNAcentral